Gossypium raimondii (Peruvian cotton) is the source of this 1709-nucleotide long non-coding RNA. RefSeq lists it as uncharacterized. The transcript has 3 exons. Lineage: Eukaryota; Viridiplantae; Streptophyta; Magnoliopsida; Malvales; Malvaceae. The record is from RefSeq and is a predicted model, not a curated record.
UAGAAUCUGACACUUCGAUAUUGAUCCUUUAAGCUUUGAAUAUCACUGAUUAUCGCCCCUAUUUCUGAUUUGUCACGACUUGUAUUUUGGCAUUUUAUAAUCACUGUUCUUGAGUCUCCGAUAAUAUCUAAGGUAUGAAAACCCAACUGAAUCCCUAACCUAGCUGCUUGAAGACCUGCCACUGCUUCCGCCGCAAAUGGAGAUGCGAUAUCUUCAUGAAGGGUCGACUUUGCUGCAACGAUCCUACCCUCCUCAUUACAAACAACAAGGCCUGGCGCAGAUCUGGAGUUCUUUAAGUCGAAGGCCGCAUCAAAAAGAUGGCAUUUUUCCUUCUUUGUGAACUUUGUCUAGGUCUCGCGCUAGUUCCCUCGAUAAGUUCUCUUUCUCUACUCCCUUCCAGCUCUAGAAUAUAGCUUUGUAUUUGUUUGGAGAUAUCCCAACUAGUGAUUGAUCUGUUUUCAUAUAAUAAUUUAUUCCUAUUUGUCCAGAUUAGCCAGAGCCCGCAACAGAAACUCAUGCACUGUUCAUUUGUCCCUUGGCUGAAAACCCAGGACACAGAUAGAAAACAUGGAAACUAUCUUCUCCUUCCUGACCGCAUCUCGAGCAUCGAUCCUCAACCAUCACUAUCCGCAUCUUCAGAUUAGAAAAAAUGGGAAUGUAGUUCCACGCUAUUCUCCAUAUUGUAAUCAUGAUUUUUGAGGGUAAAUGUAGAUUCCAUAGUUUUCGAAAAAAAAAUUGUAUCGGUCUAUAAAUAAACAUUAGGAUCAAUUGUAGCUUUCUGUAAUAGUUUAUAGGCGCUCUUUACGGAAAAGUCACCAGUUGCCUCCCCUCUCCACACUUGAAUGUCUUCUUGGAUUGACUUUGACAUGGGAUUUGUAGUAUUUUCCUAGCGAUAUCCGAGCUAAAGCCAUUUUCGGCACCCAUAUAUCAUCCCAUACUGAAAUGUGGUCUCAUUUACCAACCCUCCAACAUAAUUCGUCUGUCAGGAGUUUUUUUGACGACCAUAUACUCCUCCAGGUAAGUAAAGGUGAGUUACUCAGAGGAGCGUUCAAGAAAUUUGAUUCUGGAAAAUAUUUCGCCUUUAAAACUCGGGCUAAUAACAAACUCGGAUAAUUAAGAAGUCGCCACCCUUGUUUUGCCAGUAAAGCUAUAUUAAAUUUAUCAAGGCUUCUAAAACCUAACCCACCCAAUUCUUUUUCAAUGCAAAUAUCCUUCUAGGAGCACCAAUGGAUCCCUUUUUUUCCCCUUAUUUUUCUGCCACCAAAAUUUAGCAAUAAUACCCUCUAACUCCUUGUAAAAAGAUUUAGGAAGUAAAAAACACAUCAUCGAGUAGGUUGGUAUAGAUUGUAAAACAGCUUUGAUGAAGACCUCUUUACCUCCUUGUGAUAGAUAUUUGAUACUCCAAUUGUCAAUUCGUUGCUUGAAUCUAUCCUUUAGCAUCUGAAAUGCUAUCUUCUUCUUUCUACCCACCAGGCUAGGUAACCCUAAAUAUCUUUCCAUAUCAUCUGAACUUCGUACCCCAAGAAUCCGAGUAAUUGUUCUUCUUUCUCCUUCUUGAGUGUUUCUGCUGAAAAAGAUUGUAGAUUUUGAAAAGUUAACUUUCUGACCCGAGCAAAAUUCGUAUUCACGGAGGACCUGUUUCAAAAAAAUUGAACCCCUCUCAGAAGCUUCCCCAAACAGUAUGCAAUCAUCUGCAAAAAGCAAAUGUG